RNAcentral lists this ribosomal RNA (1416 nucleotides) under Lactiplantibacillus plantarum. RNAcentral describes it as "bacterial SSU rRNA". It matches the Rfam family "Bacterial small subunit ribosomal RNA". The record is from RNAcentral. Lineage: Bacteria; Bacillati; Bacillota; Bacilli; Lactobacillales; Lactobacillaceae.
GUGCUUGCAUCAUGAUUUACAUUUGAGUGAGUGGCGAACUGGUGAGUAACACGUGGGAAACCUGCCCAGAAGCGGGGGAUAACACCUGGAAACAGAUGCUAAUACCGCAUAACAACUUGGACCGCAUGGUCCGAGUUUGAAAGAUGGCUUCGGCUAUCACUUUUGGAUGGUCCCGCGGCGUAUUAGCUAGAUGGUGGGGUAACGGCUCACCAUGGCAAUGAUACGUAGCCGACCUGAGAGGGUAAUCGGCCACAUUGGGACUGAGACACGGCCCAAACUCCUACGGGAGGCAGCAGUAGGGAAUCUUCCACAAUGGACGAAAGUCUGAUGGAGCAACGCCGCGUGAGUGAAGAAGGGUUUCGGCUCGUAAAACUCUGUUGUUAAAGAAGAACAUAUCUGAGAGUAACUGUUCAGGUAUUGACGGUAUUUAACCAGAAAGCCACGGCUAACUACGUGCCAGCAGCCGCGGUAAUACGUAGGUGGCAAGCGUUGUCCGGAUUUAUUGGGCGUAAAGCGAGCGCAGGCGGUUUUUUAAGUCUGAUGUGAAAGCCUUCGGCUCAACCGAAGAAGUGCAUCGGAAACUGGGAAACUUGAGUGCAGAAGAGGACAGUGGAACUCCAUGUGUAGCGGUGAAAUGCGUAGAUAUAUGGAAGAACACCAGUGGCGAAGGCGGCUGUCUGGUCUGUAACUGACGCUGAGGCUCGAAAGUAUGGGUAGCAAACAGGAUUAGAUACCCUGGUAGUCCAUACCGUAAACGAUGAAUGCUAAGUGUUGGAGGGUUUCCGCCCUUCAGUGCUGCAGCUAACGCAUUAAGCAUUCCGCCUGGGGAGUACGGCCGCAAGGCUGAAACUCAAAGGAAUUGACGGGGGCCCGCACAAGCGGUGGAGCAUGUGGUUUAAUUCGAAGCUACGCGAAGAACCUUACCAGGUCUUGACAUACUAUGCAAAUCUAAGAGAUUAGACGUUCCCUUCGGGGACAUGGAUACAGGUGGUGCAUGGUUGUCGUCAGCUCGUGUCGUGAGAUGUUGGGUUAAGUCCCGCAACGAGCGCAACCCUUAUUAUCAGUUGCCAGCAUUAAGUUGGGCACUCUGGUGAGACUGCCGGUGACAAACCGGAGGAAGGUGGGGAUGACGUCAAAUCAUCAUGCCCCUUAUGACCUGGGCUACACACGUGCUACAAUGGAUGGUACAACGAGUUGCGAACUCGCGAGAGUAAGCUAAUCUCUUAAAGCCAUUCUCAGUUCGGAUUGUAGGCUGCAACUCGCCUACAUGAAGUCGGAAUCGCUAGUAAUCGCGGAUCAGCAUGCCGCGGUGAAUACGUUCCCGGGCCUUGUACACACCGCCCGUCACACCAUGAGAGUUUGUAACACCCAAAGUCGGUGGGGUAACCUUUUAGGAACCAGCCGCCUAAGGUGACA